CAGUCGCCGCGGUAAUACGUAGGGUGCAAGCGUUAAUCGGAAUUACUGGGCGUAAAGCGUGCGCAGGCGGUUUGUUAAGACAGAUGUGAAAUCCCCGGGCUUAACCUGGGAACUGCAUUUGUGACUGGCAAGCUAGAGUAUGGCAGAGGGGGGUGGAAUUCCGCGUGUAGCAGUGAAAUGCGUAGAUAUGCGGAGGAACACCGAUGGCGAAGGCAGCCCCCUGGGCCAAUACUGACGCUCAUGCACGAAAGCGUGGGGAGCAAACAGGAUUAGAUACCCCUGUACCCUGUCUCUUAUACAC
Molecule: ribosomal RNA, 301 nt
Filed under: uncultured bacterium
Lineage: Bacteria
Description: partial 16S ribosomal RNA
Rfam family: Bacterial small subunit ribosomal RNA
Source: RNAcentral